UGCCAGACUCCUACGGGAGGCAGCAGCGAGGAAUAUUGGUCAAUGGGCGAGAGCCUGAACCAGCCAAGUCGCGUGAGGGAGUACUGCCCUAUGGGUUGUAAACCUCUUUUGUCGGGGAGCAAAAGCCGGACGUGUCCGUCUGUGAGAGUACCCGAAGAAAAAGCAUCGGCUAACUCCGUGCCAGCAGCCGCGGUAAUACGGAGGAUGCGAGCGUUAUCCGGAUUUAUUGGGUUUAAAGGGUGCGUAGGCGGACUGGAAAGUCAGCGGUAAAAUCGAGAGGCUCAACCUCUUUCCGCCGUUGAAACUGUCGGUCUUGAGUGGGCGAGAAGUAUGCGGAAUGCGUGGUGUAGCGGUGAAAUGCAUAGAUAUCACGCAGAACUCCGAUUGCGAAGGCAGCAUACCGGCGCCCGACUGACGCUGAGGCACGAAAGCGUGGGUAUCGAACAGGAUUAGAUACCCGAGUAUA
Molecule: ribosomal RNA, 466 nt
Filed under: uncultured bacterium
Lineage: Bacteria
Description: bacterial SSU rRNA
Rfam family: Bacterial small subunit ribosomal RNA
Source: RNAcentral